GCGGUCAAGAUGUUGGUGGUGGCAUGCGUGCUUCCCAAGCACGUCGCGCGGGUUCAACUCCCGCUGACCGCU
This 72-nucleotide transfer RNA is filed under the name Virus Rctr197k. RNAcentral describes it as "tRNA-Gly". It matches the Rfam family "tRNA". From Rfam's summary of the family: Transfer RNA (tRNA) molecules are approximately 80 nucleotides in length. Their secondary structure includes four short double-helical elements and three loops (D, anti-codon, and T loops). The record is from RNAcentral. Lineage: Duplodnaviria; Heunggongvirae; Uroviricota; Caudoviricetes.